Long non-coding RNA from Drosophila sechellia, 318 nucleotides. RefSeq lists it as uncharacterized. The transcript has 3 exons. The record is from RefSeq and is a predicted model, not a curated record. NCBI's taxonomy places the organism in Eukaryota, Metazoa, Arthropoda, Insecta, Diptera, Drosophilidae.
GGAAGAGAUCGCGGGAGAGGGCGCUAUCGCAGAUCUUCACAUAGGACUCUUCGUCAAGGCUGGAAAAAAGUGGGAUAAAAUAAUAGUAAUGCAAUUGCGUGUGGCAAUGUCCUUAUGAACGAUUCCCAGGGAGUGCAGAUAGGCCAAUCCCUUGGUGAUGUGCAGCCCAAACUCAACCAGUUGGCGCGUACUCAAUGCUGUGCUCGAUUCCCGCGACUUUUGCAAAUGGUUUGCUAUAUAGAUAAUUCUUUAGAUAUUUCCCACACUCCCUCACACCUUCCAUUUUGUACUUACAUCUUGAGAUUGCCCUUGGACGGA